GACGAACGCUGGCGGCGUGCUUAACACAUGCAAGUCGUACGGUAAGGCCCUUUCGGGGGUACACGAGUGGCGAACGGGUGAGUAACACGUGAGUAACCUGCCCACAACUUUGGGAUAACGCUAGGAAACUGGUGCUAAUACUGGAUAUGUGCUCCUGCUGCAUGGUGGGGGUUGGAAAGCUCCUGCGGUUGUGGAUGGACUCGCGGCCUAUCAGCUUGUUGGUGGGGUAGUGGCCUACCAAGGCGGCGACGGGUAGCCGGCCUGAGAGGGUGACCGGCCACAUUGGGACUGAGAUACGGCCCAGACUCCUACGGGAGGCAGCAGUGGGGAAUAUUGCACAAUGGGCGCAAGCCUGAUGCAGCAACGCCGCGUGCGGGAUGACGGCCUUCGGGUUGUAAACCGCUUUCAGCAGGGACGAAGCUUUUUGUGACGGUACCUGCAGAAGAAGCACCGGCUAACUACGUG
Molecule: ribosomal RNA, 465 nt
Filed under: uncultured bacterium
Lineage: Bacteria
Description: partial 16S ribosomal RNA
Rfam family: Bacterial small subunit ribosomal RNA
Source: RNAcentral